This is a long non-coding RNA of Daphnia magna, 1331 nucleotides long. RefSeq lists it as uncharacterized. The transcript is spliced from 3 exons. NCBI's taxonomy places the organism in Eukaryota, Metazoa, Arthropoda, Branchiopoda, Diplostraca, Daphniidae. The record is from RefSeq and is a predicted model, not a curated record.
AACAGUUAAAAAGAAGAGUCGGCCAUGCUGUUAAGCAAUAUGGGGGGAGACAGGACGAACUAAUUGUUAGCAGACGCCACGAUGUUUCAUAAAAGAGGGGGGGAGAUGAAAGGGAGAAGGGGUGAUGAAAAAGCAGCUGUUGCAAACUAUCGAUUUCAUUGUCUAUAUUUAUCGUUACGCCUUUUUUUUUCGUUCUGUCAAUGGCAAAAUGACGAGGAAACAAAUGACAAGGAAACAGAAUGACGAUGACCUGGUUUAGCGGCCUUGUAUGCCUUUAAGAGAAAGGUAAAAAAAAAAAUUACAUAAAAAAAAUAGCGCGCAGAGAGGGAACCGUAGAAAGAGAAUUGCUGCUCGAAUGUUGGGCGAAAGUCUUGCUGCUAUGGACACAAACGAACGAAGCUAAAAAUUGAAGAAGAAAAAAUAGUAAUAAAUAAAAGAAAAAUAAAGUUGCGCCUUUGGGUAUUUCUUGGGUUUCGAUUCCGUCAUCAUCACAUAAAGAUUUUGGGCGUAUAGCCAUGGUAUACAUUUUCGCUCCAGCUUCAGGCCGUUGGCGUUUUUGCGGUGGCGUAGCGAACUAUGAACAACAACAACCCCGCAAAUGUCUGCCUACGUACAGUUCAUGUGCUUUGUGUUGUAUACGCAAACACAUUAGACAAACAAUAAAACAACAUACUGGCCUUGUGUAUAUAGCGAAAUUCCUCUCAUGCUUCGCGCUUGAAAUCAAUUUGACAAACAAAACCCAAAUUGUUUCAAAAACGGGGAGGAAUGUUUUGUUUUUUUGCCAAACAUUUUGUUCGAAGAAAAAGAUAGGGCAUGGCAACAACUGAUUUUGGGCCGCUAUUUAUACUUGCUAAUAUCGAGACGAAUUGCUCGCAGCCAUAAAAUCGUUGGAUAUUUACGGCUUUGACUUCAUCACUAAUGUGAAUGGCAAGAAUAAAGAAAGAAGAAAAAAGAAAAGAAAACUUGAAUUAAACGAGAGAGACGACCGCCCAAUGGAUGACGCCCUCGUCUGCACACCGACAAGACCCACCUCUUCGCGUGUUGACUUUAACACAAAGGCGAAACACUUGAGCGAACAACAUCAAAAUCUGAUGAGAGUUUUUUCUUCGGCUGGUAGUUCGGCUAAAAAAGUAAACGAAGCGUGACACGAAAGAGACUCUUUUCCGUUAUGUCGUUCAACUAUCAUAAUGCGUUGCGGUCACCGUGACGAUCGAAUGUUUACGGGUAACUUAAUGAAACCGGUCAUCCGUCUCCACUAGAAAAUGAUCGAUGCGGGUUACGGCCAGUUUUUUACCCGAUCCCUGCUGUUGCUGUUUUGUUGCACGAAACUU